UGUUCCAUGGACACUGUGACAGUGAGACUGGGGAGCAUCCUCUGUGCUCACUGCCCGCGCUGCUGCUGCUGCUACUACUACCACUACCAGCUCUUGCUUUUGCGCUGUCUCUGCCUUGAACGUCUUUCUUCGGGGACUUUCAAAUUUACUCAGUAGUUUGUUUAAAGAAUCUUCUUGCACGCCAUGGCUUAGGUGGAAGCCAUGGGUACCCGAACAGAGAAAAGCAUCAGCCUGUGUCAGAAGGCUCUGCAGAUCGUGUCGGACCUUUGCCUAGGAGGGCAAGUGGAGUGGGAAAAAUGUUCAAGUAUCCUCCUAGAAAGAACCAGUCCAGGUAAAGACAGCACAGACAUCUCAGUCAGUCUUCUUGCUGUAGUUGUCAGUUUCUGUGGCCUUGCUCUGUUGGUAGUCUCUCUCUUUGUCUUUUGGAAGCUGUGUUGGCCAUGCUGGAGGAGCAAGGCUCUUACAUCUCAUGCCAAUAACAUCCCUCAGAAUACUCCUACUGCCCCUCCAGAGGUGGUGGAAAAAGAUGAAAAAAAGGAAAUACUUGAAAAUGGUAAAAGCUCAGUGAAGCUUCGGGAGGCUGCCAUGAAGAUUAGUCAGACAUCCCCAGACAUCCCUGCAGAGGUUCAGACUGCUCUCAAGGAACACCUUCUGAAGCAUUCCAAAAUACAGAGGCAGAUUACAGAACCUACUUCAUCAUCCAGACACAAUUCAUUUAGAAGACAUUUGCCACGGCAGAUGCAUGUGUCUAGCGUAGACUUAAACAUUGAGGGCUUGCAGAGGAGAGAGACAACUACCAGCAUUGGACGCAUUAAGCCAGAACUUUACAAACAAAAGUCCAUUGAUUCUGAUGACAGCAAGAAAGAAGACGUCCAGACCUGUGGGAAGCUAAAUUUUACCCUUCAAUAUGACUAUGAAAAUGAAAUGCUGGUUGUAAGAAUUGUCAAAGCAUUGGAGUUACCUGCUAAGGACAUUACAGGCACAUCUGAUCCUUAUGUUAAAAUUUAUCUGCUUCCAGAUAGAAAAAAGAAAUUUCAAACUCGAGUGCACCGGAAGACUCUUGAUCCUAUUUUCGAUGAAACUUUUCAGUUUCCUGUAGCAUAUGAUCAACUGACAAGCAGAAAACUGCACUUCAGUGUCUAUGACUUUGACAGGUUCACCAGUCAUGAUAUGAUUGGAGAAGUUAUUGUGGACAAUUUGUUUGAAAUUUCUGAUCUUUCCAGGGAGACAACAGUUUGGAAGGACAUUCAUUGUGCCACUACAGAAAGUGUUGAUUUGGGAGAAAUCAUGUAUUCUUUGUGUUACCUACCAACUGCUGGUAGAAUGACAUUGACUAUGAUUAAAUGCAGAAAUCUUAAGGCAAUGGAUAUCACUGGCUCUUCAGAUCCUUAUGUUAAAGUGUCCCUUAUGUGUGAUGGCAGAAGAUUAAAAAAGCGUAAAACAACAACCAAGAAAAAUACACUAAAUCCAGUUUACAAUGAGGCAAUCAUCUUUGAUAUUCCUCCAGAAAAUGUGGAACAGGUUAGCUUAUCCAUCAUGGUAAUGGACUAUGACCGUGUUGGUCAUAAUGAAGUAAUUGGAGUCUGUAGGACAGGGCCAGAAGCAGAAGGCCUUGGUAGAGAUCACUGGAAUGAAAUGCUUGCAUAUCCACGCAAACCAAUUACUCACUGGCAUCCACUGGUAGAGAGUUUGACUUGAGAAAAUUUUUGAUGAGAACUUGCCGUUCAGCCCAACAUAGCUCCUCAAUCUAUAUUCACCUAACUUUUGCAAAAUAUUGUCAAGUCGAGAUUUGAUGGUCCCCAAAGUACUACUAUCUGCAGUACUACACUACUUGUGGCCAGGCCGAGCGACAAGUUUUGAUAGUCAAGGAUCCUGUCCAUCACCAAAACCACCAAUGACACCAUAGCAAGAAAUUGUAUAUGUUAAAUAAUUAUUUAUUAUUCCUAAGUAAUAUGAAAGUCAAAGUAUAGUAGUUAUCUGGUUUUAAAUCCUUUACACACAAAUUCACGAAAAUGGUAGGAUUCAGUUAUUACAUUUUCUGUUUUGAGGAUCGGAAAAAAUCAUCUUACAUAUCUGGCGUAAUAUAGUAAUAUUUUUUCUGUUUCAUUUGUUUUAAUUUUGUUUCAAAAAUGUUGUGUUUAUUUUAUUUAAAAGGCUGUAUACCCUUUUUCAUUAUCUGUGCCCUGAUUUAGUGAUUUAGUGAAACAUUUGAAACCUUAAAAUCACUUUACUGUGGUUUAGUAUUGCAAUUUUAACUGUGAAUGAAGUUAAUUUUAUUGCUAUAAUACAAGAAUAACCUUUUAUGAUUUCCUAAAAUAAUUGUUUACAGAAUACCUCUUUCUGCAGAAAAAAGUGCAUUUACUGACAUUUUAUUAUAGUGGUGGAGCAUUACAGUGUACUAACAGUCAUACGUGUUAAAAUUGAAACAUUUUCAAAAUAUUCAUUAAUACUGUCUAGAAUUUGAAAUGAUAGGGUUACUAUUUUUCUGGCAUGUGUAAUUGUUUUAUUUGGCAAAUUUGUAAGAAAGAUUCACAAUUUAUAAUUAAGUAAAUCAACUGCUGCCAUUCCAGAUCCUACAAAAUUUUAUUAUCUGUGGGAACAGCUGCAAAAUUAACAUUAUUACAUGUUUUGAGAUGCCAAUGUGGAGCAAAAGUAUGUGUGCAAUAAAAUGCAAGUACACAACAUACUAAAUGUUUUUAUUUUUUGUAUAACUGUAGAAAAACUUUUUUGUCUUUAAUUUAUUUUUCAUUAAAUUCUCUCCAAAACUUAAAGUAUAAAAGUAAAAAAAAAUAUUAUAUAUAAGUAUUAUAUAUAUAAAGUAAUCAAAUUAUUUGUUUUUUAAGUUUUUCCCUAUUCUUAGACAAAAUAAAUAUAACAUUUUGCUUUUCUGAAGUAAUUAUACCAUAAUAAAUGUAGAAUGCUAUGACAAGCUUAUCCAAAGACAGAGGUGCUUUAAUGUUUAUGGAGACAAAGAAGCCUUUGCUAACUUUACUAAAAGACAACAAAUAUUUAUGUCAUAAUAUCAUGUAGUACAUAAUAAUGAAUAUCUGCUAAAUUCUAAAUAUUGCUCAUUGUUUUAUCACAUACUUUAUCUCUGUGGUUAAAGCUUUUCUCCUUAAAGAAAAUUAAAAGAUUUCUUUUUUUUCCUGAUAACCUCUACAGCAGGGUCAAACAUGGACAUUUAUUUAGUAAAUGUCCAAAAGGGCUUCAAUACGUGACCUAAACCUGGGUCCAUAUGCAUAUCCAGAAAUGUUCUGCAUAUUCAAAAAAUAAAUAACAAUUUAUUAUUUCAGAAUGUGUUUCAUAGCUUUGAUUUUUUUUCAUUAAGAUGGAUUGUUGCAAAUCUAGAUCAAUAACGUUAUAUUAAUAUCAGAAUUAUUAUUCUUUUUCAAGAGUUAACAUUAUGUAAGUGAAGGAGAAAAAACAUUUCCAACUAACAAAACUUAACCUUUCAUGUAACUUAAACUCUAGACAUGAGAAAGUGCCCCACUCAGUCAAAAGUUGAAGGAGCAGCUGCAGGAGGAUUGAUUCAGAUCCAGUUUCUUAUUAACUUAGUGUUUUUGAAGUUUUGUUUUUUUAUUUCAAUUAACAAUAUCAUUUAAUUAAAAGAUGUAUACAUGAAUGUUAUUUAAAUGUAAAUAAUGUGUGUGGGUGUAACAACUAUAAAACAUGACUUCUAUGUAAUGUGUAGACUGUGUACAAUUUAUUUCCAUUACAUUAUUUUUGUGUUAAAAGAAACCAUAAUGAGAAUUUCAAAAUUGUGUAGCAUAUCUUUUUAUUUAUUUGUAUUUUUGUACAAAAUAUGCAGCCUUUGUGAGAUAUACAGAUCAAUAAUUAUAUACUGUAUAUAUAUUUGUGUGUGUGCCAUAGUUUUCAUAAGACACAUUCCAUUUCAUAGCAUUUUUAAGAGUUUCUUUCUGUAAAUUGUAAACUUUUGUUACAUCUGAUAUAUUCUGUAAUGAUGAAAAAUGCUUAAAAUGUUAUUAAGUGUACAGUUUGUGAUAACUUUUGUAAUAAUUCAUAGGUAACAUUUGAAUUAUUUUACUGUACCCGUUUCUUAUGUAUUUUGAUGAAAACUAAUUAAAG
Molecule: RNA transcript, 4086 nt
Organism: Erpetoichthys calabaricus (reedfish)
Lineage: Eukaryota; Metazoa; Chordata; Cladistia; Polypteriformes; Polypteridae
Gene: syt10
Gene name: synaptotagmin X
Exons: 8
Source: RefSeq, a predicted model, not a curated record